UCUAGUGGUCUUUAUUUCAUAGUAGAUUUACAGAAAAGAGGGUUGCGAGAGAAGAGGAAGACAUGCAUCAAACCUGUGGUGGACGCAUUGAGGACUGAGGCCUCCAUACAUGGAUCACGUGCUCUACUCUUUGUUCCACUGCCACACCCAGACCAAUUUUCAGAAGAACAUUGACCCUUUGCAACUACAUCACCUAUUCGUACUGCCAUGGUGGACGUCGGAAGUGAGCUUCCUGUGUAAUGUCUCAUGACUUGGUGGACACGGUGGAAGGCCUGCCUUAUCAGAUGAAGCUACGCGCAUCGCCACAAAGGAGAGGCCUUGUGUGCGAGGGGCCGUGACAACUGCGGCACGGUGACCUUUAAUCCCUGACAGCAUGGGAAAGUGGGCACUCUCAGCUGUUAGGACUCCAGCGGAUCCUCCUGAGCAAUAGUUUAUGAUCACACAUUAAUGGGAAGAUGCACUAAAAAACACAGAGGAUCGACAAAGUGCACACCAAAGAAAAAAAAAAAAAAGGCCUACGGUAUAUCAGGGUUGCUGUGGUUACAGCUUCACAGUGGUAUACUCCCUCCAGAUUCAUUUGCUCGCACACACACACAAAGCUAUUUAAGACCUAGAAAUAUUUCUGCCUCUCUCGUUAUGUUCUCACAGUCCUCAGUUGCUGUAGGAAUGUAAAGUAUCCAGAACCCGGUUCCCCCCUAGGCCCUGGUGAACAGGAUGGUGGUGAGACCCUUGAUUUAAACAACUUUGAUUGUUCCCAUGUCACUUGCUGCAACAAUCUAUACACCAGAGUCCUCCGUCAGCUGCUCCGCCUCAAAGGUUUUUCCAGGAACAGAUACAUCCCCCUACUGUAGCUCCAUUCAACCUACUGUGCACUUCAUGAACAACAAGGCUGUUAUUUGUUUUUAUUUUUAAAAAAAGGUUAUGCUUCAUUGGAAAAAAUCUUGUGAUUUUCUUAGAUUUCUACAUUUUAAGUAGCGAUUUAAACGAUUUCGUGGUCGAUUCUGGGUGUGCAUGUACUCAGUUGUUUUGUUAAAAUAAAAUAUUCUGCUGCUUUUGCACCAGGAAAACAC
Poecilia latipinna (sailfin molly) is the source of this 1070-nucleotide long non-coding RNA. RefSeq lists it as uncharacterized. The record is from RefSeq and is a predicted model, not a curated record. The transcript is spliced from 3 exons. Lineage: Eukaryota; Metazoa; Chordata; Actinopteri; Cyprinodontiformes; Poeciliidae.